AGAGGGAGGUAUUAGAGGAAUAACACACUUCAGCACAUGCUACUGUAGGAAAAUAAAUAACUUUAAGUGGGAAUAAUAACACCGCUUCAAGUGACACAGCAUCCCACCACCCUGCCCUUGAUUAUUUUCCUAUAACAGCAUGCCCCCAAGUGGUUUAUUCCUUACUGAAUCUGUCACUGAGCUCCUCUGCUUCUGUGCUAUUUGUGGUAAAAGUCCAAGAGUUCAUGUAUUUUAUCAGAAAUAUGCAACAGCAGUUUAUUAUGAAUAUAGGACCUAGUUACUGUUGUUUUAUGGCUUGAGAGGGCAGUCUGUGUAAACUAAACCAUCUCUAACUGCUCAUUAAUACACAUUCAGCUUCUCUCUCCUCACAGACUGCAAUGAUUCACCAUCAUCUCACUCACAUUAAACAACUGAAAGAUAAUCGCUCUUUGUUGCAAACAUGAUCAUAGUAUUAUUGUGUUUUUCAUUACACUUCUCUGCAUAGGGAAUAAUAAAUAACUCUAAAUACUUUAAAUUAUAUCCUCAUUCACGAAGCUUUAAGAACAGACAAGUGGUUGGCAUGAGCUCCUGACUGAAAGAGUCAGUGAUGAUUGUGACCUGCAUUAUUUCUGGAACAACAUUCAGUUUCUAUUCGAUACAGUUUCUGAAAUAUUUGUGUUGUUCAGUGAUUAUCAGUGAUCUGAAAACUUCAUGUUCUUCUGGGUGUUACAGUGAUACACAGUGAUGCACUAAAAGAACAUGAUAUCUAAUGAGUAAAGAGCAGUUAUGGACUUGACAGCAUGAAACACAGCUGGAGUCUUACAGUGAGCUUUUUCUCUUCAUGGCUAUUCCUCUGGGAAUCGUUUUAUGUCUCUAGUGGGCGUGCCAUGCAAACCAAAUCCUGUGUUUGAACCAUUUAUGCUGAUAUACAUUCAGCUCAACAACAUACCAGCAGUUUGUGUUCAUUUACAGCAACAGUGAUCAUUUUAAUUCUUUGAGAUGGGACUAGGCAGAGUUUUGAGUUACUUUACUCUAACAAUGUUCAUUCAAUAUUCCUGCAGUCAGACAUUGAUCGAGUCUGAUUCAGUCAUCAUCAAACCUGAUCAGUCUCAUAAACUGACCUGCACAGCAUCUGGAUUUAACUUUGGUAGCUACUGGAUGGCUUGGAUCAGACAGGCUCCUGGAAAAGGACUGGAAUUUGUUGCAACUAUUGAGUAUGAUAGUGCUAACAAGUAUUACUCCAGCGCAGUUAAAGGCCGCUUCACUGUCUCCAGAGACAACAGUAAGCUGCAGGUGUAUCUGCACAUGAACAGCGUGAGGACAGAAGACACAGCUGUGUAUUACUGCGCCUGACACACACAGUGAUACUUCUCCUUAGACAUCAGUACAAAAACACACGCUUGCUAUAGUCACAUGACAAGCUCACAUUUUCAUUAGCAGUGUAUUCAUGGAGCUCAAAGAACCAAAAUGUUUUGACUUUUACUGCAUGUGGCUUAUUGUGAACAUUGUCUGGACAUUUAUGCUGGUAUAAGAUUACUUAGG
Molecule: non-coding RNA, 1521 nt
Organism: Pangasianodon hypophthalmus (striped catfish)
Lineage: Eukaryota; Metazoa; Chordata; Actinopteri; Siluriformes; Pangasiidae
Source: the annotation of a RefSeq genome assembly